Molecule: unclassified non-coding RNA, 213 nt
Filed under: rhizosphere metagenome
Description: partial ribosomal RNA internal transcribed spacer region
Source: RNAcentral
GUAGGUGAACCUGCGGAAGGAUCAUUACUGAAGAAGUCUCUGGCGCAAGCCGAGAUGAAUAUCCUUCAACACUCUCACUGUUUGUGAAAGCUGCAGAGCGGUUAAAAACUUUGCAUGUGGAAACGGCAGUGUGAUUUUACCUUCUGGUAAAAACAAAGUCUGAUUACAAAACAUAACAAACCAAAACUUUCAACAACGGAUCUCUUGGUUCUC